UCGGCGGGUGACUGAAAACAUCCUGUAAAAAACGCUGCCAACACCAUCUCGCUUCUCGAUCAGAUCUGUGCUACAGUGUAACAUCACCGGCCCCGAUCAUGCCGACUGGAACUGGUCUUGGGAAUAAAGCAGCUUAUUUUUGUCUCAUCUUUCUGUAUUGCGUACCUGUUAUUGCUGCUGCAAAAUAUAUCAAAGAAGACAACCAUUCACAGGUUCAGGGGGACAGUGAUGAGCGCAGUAAGAGAUUAUUAGGUAAGUCUUGUGAAAGUGCCCUGUCUUUCUGUAGACUGGUUUUACUUUUACUUAGUUAUUAACACAAAAGUGGAUAGUCCUCUAGGUGAUGUCAUUCAAAGUACUGUUAUUAAUUUGUUCUGGUAUUUACAGUAUGCAGUUUAUUAUGUUAUU
Molecule: long non-coding RNA, 405 nt
Organism: Polyodon spathula (Mississippi paddlefish)
Lineage: Eukaryota; Metazoa; Chordata; Actinopteri; Acipenseriformes; Polyodontidae
Exons: 3
Source: RefSeq, a predicted model, not a curated record